GUGAGGGGCAGGAAGGAGUCCAGGUUUCUGGUUUGGAAACUAGGUGGAUGGUGAUAUCUCAGCUAAGCCAAGGGUCAUAGCUGGAGGAAAAGGAGGAUCCAACCAGGAUCACACAUGCACUCAGUUGCACAUCUCCUUGGUUCCCUCCAUCUGGGAUAGUCUUCCAGCCUUUCUUUGUCUUUCUUGGCUUGAAGAAUAGAGAGUAUAGCUGGAGAGCACCCGGUGAUGCAGAUUCUACUACUUUCUUAUUGGGAGGCACGGAGAAGUGCGUUAACUUGCUCAAGUUUACACAGUUGGCCAGUGGCAGAACCAGGACUGCAGUGCCUGAAGCGUGGCUCCUGUACGCACACUCUGGAUCCUGUACUGAAGUGUGUCAGUGCACAUGGGUCAGAAAGUGCAGGCGAAGGUUUCAGGAAACCGAGAGCCCAGGAAAUGAGGCAAGUCAUCUGUACGGAUGCAGAAGUCACCUGAGGUGGGGCAAGAGUUGGGGUAAAGAGGAAGGCUGUGAGUCAGGUGCCAGGUGAGGAGGUCCUGGUUUUUCUAUUCCUUGGCUCACUGUCCUCUAACCUUUGAGGAGGAGCCAGUCAACCCUUGUCUGGAGAUGAAGCUCCACCCAUGCCGUAGGGCCAAAUCUUGCCUACAGAGAGGAUCUGUAAGACUGGACUUCCAUAUUCUUAGCCUCAGCAUUGAGGCCUCUCACUCCAGGUGUGACUCUCACCUGGACCCUUUACCUGUCUGAGUCAGAGCCCAUGCUCUGCAGGGAUGGGCUCGGGAUUCCAUGAGCAGUGUUCUUUGGACCAUUCUCUUCAUCUGGC
RNAcentral lists this long non-coding RNA (815 nucleotides) under Heterocephalus glaber (naked mole-rat). Its description in RNAcentral is "lncRNA (ENSHGLG00000038972.1)". Lineage: Eukaryota; Metazoa; Chordata; Mammalia; Rodentia; Bathyergidae. The record is from RNAcentral.